This 98-nucleotide ribosomal RNA is filed under the name Acanthosepion pharaonis. Lineage: Eukaryota; Metazoa; Mollusca; Cephalopoda; Sepiida; Sepiidae. The record is from RNAcentral.
UCAAAACACUGGUUCUUGUAUGAUCACUGAAGUUAAGUAAUGUCGAGCCUGGUCAGUACCUACAUGGGUGACUGCUUGGGAAUACCAGGUGUUGUAAG